AAAACAACAGAAGGGUCUGAACUCUGAAGAGGAAGAGAGAGAAAACGACUGUCCUCUGUAAAGAGAGAAAAAACUCCAGAUUAACUUGCAACUCCACUGCCAUUCUCGCCGUUGUUCUGCCACCGGAAUCGAGCUCCGAGAACGUCGUCACAUUAGCAGUGCUGAUUUCUGAGGAGAGAAAACCCUUGAAAAAGAAGAUCGCUGGAAAUUUUUUAAAGCUCGAAGGGACUUCCAACCGCCUCCAAUAAGAUCUUCGAUACCAGAAAAUUAGGGUUGAUGUUCUUCCCCAAUUUAUGCCUCGAAAAUCCAAAUCAGAAUUAAGCCCAUUUUGAAGUUAUUUCAUUGAUUGUCGGAAUCAUAAUAGAGAAUCGGUUGAUGGAGCGCGGGAACUUGAGCUGGGUACGAAGGUUUUGGAACAAUGGAGUUUUUUUGAGAUUGAAGAACACGGUGAAGAACUGAAGAAAAGGAGGGAGAUUGGAGAAAGGAAGGGGAAAAUCACGUCGUAUUGAUGUUGUAUUCCUUUUGUAUUCCUAAUGAUAUACGUAUUCUAUUUGCCAUAUCUUGCAUAGCCAACUCACUCUUUCUCUUACCUAGUCAUAUACUAUUGCCUAGUAAGAAACUAAUUUAUUUUUAUUUUUUAAUAAAAUAUUAUUAUUAUAUGCUA
Molecule: long non-coding RNA, 664 nt
Organism: Spinacia oleracea (spinach)
Lineage: Eukaryota; Viridiplantae; Streptophyta; Magnoliopsida; Caryophyllales; Amaranthaceae
Exons: 2
Source: RefSeq, a predicted model, not a curated record